Long non-coding RNA from Ictalurus punctatus (channel catfish), 527 nucleotides. Lineage: Eukaryota; Metazoa; Chordata; Actinopteri; Siluriformes; Ictaluridae. The record is from Ensembl.
UUACACAGUAACUCUGGAUGGGCUUUCUGUUUCAUCAUGUGCAGCAGUAAAAGACCUUGGUGUGAUUAUUGACUCCAGUCUUUCUUUUGAAGCUCAUGUAGAUAAUAUUACUAGGAUAGCAUUCUUUCAUCUCAGAAAUAACUGCUAAGAUAAACAGUGGUGUGCUGUAGCAAGCGGUCAGCGGGCAGGAAGCAAGCGGCGAGGGGUGACUGUGACUCAACCUCGACAGAUUGCUGAGAAGUAACUGAGGGGAGAGAGUACAGAUGCCUCUCCUGCAUCAAGUGCUACUGAACCUGAGGAGCCGACCUACCAGCUACCACAGAGAGAGAGACACCCGCCAAGGCGCAUCACCUACGAUCAGCUGGGUACUCCGUCCUGCUAUAGUAUCCAGCCACAGCCGCAGUUGUUGCCUUUCUACCCUGCACCAGGACUGGUCCCAUGGUUGCCACCCUUGCAGCCAUACUACCUUCAGCCACCCUGUAUGUAUGGACUCCAGCAAACGUGAGUUUACAGAUGUGACAUACUGA